GGCAAGAUACUUCGCGCGCUUUUUCGUUUUUUUAUUUGGUUUGGUGUUCUAUCUCGUCGUUAUUCAAUUAUUGUUUUCAUCUUUAAUCUUGUCUUUCGUCGUCACUUCUUCCUUGACAUGAUAGUAAAGUCAACUCUUAUAUAAUUCGAAUCCAUUUAUCCGACAAAAUCUUCGUUGCGUACUAUGCGCGCGUUUCCUUUCACCUCACCUUGUCCCAUUUGCCGACAAGAUCUGAGCAUCAGCGUUUGAUGGAUGAAAAGAAGACUUGCUUUGAAUCACCCGUGCCAGAGUUUGAAUUCGCCUGGGACUAUUUUUUGACUGAGUGUGAGGUUUGUCUUUGUAAUAUAACUUCAUGCUAGAAGAUACCAUUACGUGCUUUCGAAGCGAAAGCAGGGAAGAAAAGUUACUACGUAUUUAGCAGCUGAGGUAUUUGUAAACUCUGCUUCAGUUUUAAAUGGGAUUAGAUAAUAUUGCGGAUUCUACAACAUU
Stegodyphus dumicola is the source of this 489-nucleotide long non-coding RNA. The record is from RefSeq and is a predicted model, not a curated record. Lineage: Eukaryota; Metazoa; Arthropoda; Arachnida; Araneae; Eresidae.